CCUACGGGAGGCAGCAGUGAGGAAUAUUGGUCAAUGGGCGAGAGCCUGAACCAGCCAAGUCGCGUGAGGGAGUACUGCCCUAUGGGUUGUAAACCUCUUUUGUCGGGGAGCAAAAGCCGGACGUGUCCGGCUUUGAGAGUACCCGAAGAAAAAGCAUCGGCUAACUCCGUGCCAGCAGCCGCGGUAAUACGGAGGAUGCGAGCGUUAUCCGGAUUUAUUGGGUUUAAAGGGUGCGCAGGCGGAUUUUUAAGUCAGCGGUCAAAUCGUGGGGCUCAACCCCAUCCAGUCGAUGUACCUGGGGAGCUAGAGUGUGAGUGGGGUAUGCGGAAUGCGUGGGGUAGCGGUGAAAUGCAUAGAUAACACGCAGGACCCCGAUUGCGAAGGCAGCAUACCGGUGCACAACUGACGCUCAGGCACGAAAGCGUGGGUAUCGAACAGGAUUAGAUACCCCGUGUAGUC
RNAcentral lists this ribosomal RNA (459 nucleotides) under uncultured bacterium. RNAcentral's name for it is "partial 16S ribosomal RNA". It matches the Rfam family "Bacterial small subunit ribosomal RNA", at positions 338 to 795 of the family's 1533-position model. The record is from RNAcentral.